Dreissena polymorpha is the source of this 546-nucleotide long non-coding RNA. RefSeq lists it as uncharacterized. Lineage: Eukaryota; Metazoa; Mollusca; Bivalvia; Myida; Dreissenidae. The record is from RefSeq and is a predicted model, not a curated record. The transcript has 3 exons.
GUCCCAUUGGAAAAACUGGGUUAUCAUCGAAAAGGAAGUUUAAAAUAUAGAUAUAAAUGCAUGUCCUUUACACUCUGAGUCCACAAAUUCGGUUUCCAGCAAUGACAAAGGCAUUAGUGUUUGGUGGUUUUAUUUUGCUAUGUGCCUGGAUCAAAGGGACGUUUAGUCUGACAGGACAUGUAUGCACGCGCUCCACAUACUACCAGUACCGGAGUAAGACAAGUUCAGGUUUAUGGGGAUGGGGCAGAACGACGGUAUACAAACUGAGAACGAUUUAUGUGCAGGAGUGCUGUUUUGGGUGGGGGGAAAACGGACGUGGAGAAUGUGCAAUACGUACGUUUAAUGCUACUGUCAACAUGUUUCAUCAGCAAUAGUUAAGAUGGGUUUCAUCAACAUAUUAAAAGCAUGCAUGCGUAAUAUUGAAUCAGUGUCGGCGCAGCAUUAAGUUUUGCAAAAGAUUUCAAAAGAAAAAACUCUACUUAAGUGUUUCAUAAGUAUUUUAUAAUUGGCCUCAUCAACAUAAAAUAUUAAAGGUCUUUUGUAUAA